This 366-nucleotide ribosomal RNA is filed under the name uncultured eukaryote. RNAcentral's name for it is "partial 18S ribosomal RNA". It matches the Rfam family "Eukaryotic small subunit ribosomal RNA", at positions 592 to 976 of the family's 1831-position model. The record is from RNAcentral.
CAAUAGCGUAUAUUAACGUUGUUGCAGUUAAAAAGCUCGUAGUUGGAUUUCUGGAGGGAGCGUCGGCCCGUAUUUACGAGUGCGUGACGUCUCUGUCCAUCCUUGCGGGAAGGCACGGCAUUGAUUUGUUGUGUCGGAUCGCAUCAUUUACUGUGAAAAAAUUAGAGUGUUCAAAGCAGGCUUUCGCUUGAAUACAUUAGCAUGGAAUAAUAAAAUAGGACUUUGGUGCUAUUUUGUUGGUUGAGCCUAAAGUAAUGAUUAAUAGGGAUAGUUGGGGGCACCUGUAUUGCGUUGUCAGAGGUGAAAUUCUUGGAUUUACGCAAGACAAACAGCUGCGAAAGCGUCUGCCAAGGAUGUUUUCAUUAA